GGAGGCUUAGCUCAGCUGGUUAGAGCGCCUGCUUCACACGCAGGAGGUCACUGGUUCGAGCCCAGUAGUCUCCACCA
Molecule: transfer RNA, 77 nt
Filed under: Dysosmobacter sp.
Lineage: Bacteria; Bacillati; Bacillota; Clostridia; Eubacteriales; Oscillospiraceae
Description: tRNA-Val
Rfam family: tRNA
About the family: Transfer RNA (tRNA) molecules are approximately 80 nucleotides in length. Their secondary structure includes four short double-helical elements and three loops (D, anti-codon, and T loops).
Source: RNAcentral